AGUCUUUGGUGUAAUAAUAGAAAAAAAACCCUUUGAGGGCUGUGGUAAGCCACAGUCGUUUUUAAAUACCUGUUAAACAGAAAGAGUGGCUCAUACUAGUGGUCAGCGUGUGAGAAAUUCAAAAUGCUCAGGGUUUCAUGGACAUUUCUCAGCAUAAUUAAUCUCUUUUUAAAAUUUGGCCCUAUUCUUAUCAGCACCAAUAUUAUACUUUGAAAUGAAUGGAAAUGCUGUACUCAUUGAAGGGAUAAGGAUUAAAUCUUAAAUGGGGUCUAGGGAUGAAGUGAGGAGGGAAAAAACCCUUACAAACCUGGUGCUUUUUUUCUCCUUUGGAAAUGAAAAGCAACAGGCUAUACUCUGUGAAAGAAAGGAAAUGGUGCUGACGAGCUUUUCCCCAACCACUGUACACCUCUGGUUCAGAACUAGCAGAAGCCAAUUAGUUAUUUAGUUCACUCGCACAUUUAAGCGUGAUAUUUGAUUUAUAUGAGCAUCAGGAACUAGAUAUUCAGGCAUAAUUCAGGUCCUUUUUCUCUUUCAUUAUAAUGAGUAACUUUAAUUCUUGUUUUAUAUUUGUUUGAAUCCAUGAUCUGUUUUUAAUCCUAUAUCUUCUGUAUCUGACAGACUCCAUUUCAUCCAUUUUUUUAGUUGUCCUUUUUUACUAUAUAGUUUUACAGAAUCCAGGAAAUCCUUUUCUUCUGUUAAAAUGCUAUCACUAGUAGUAAUAUUUCUAAUGCCAAUUUAAACCUUUUUAUCCUAGCAUACUUUGUGCAGAAU
Molecule: long non-coding RNA, 771 nt
Filed under: Homo sapiens (human)
Lineage: Eukaryota; Metazoa; Chordata; Mammalia; Primates; Hominidae
Description: non-protein coding lnc-S1PR1-9:3
Source: RNAcentral